CUCGCCUGCCCGUCCGUUGUUUUGUUCCUGCCUCCUGCUUGCACGUAUUGUCAGGAAUCCGGGGGAUUUGUGUUCUGUUCGGCCUCCAACGCUCAGGUCAAGAUCCUCAGACUUCUCCUGCUUCUCUGCCUUCCAUCUCCACCUCACACAUCUGGACCUAAUCUCUGGAUUCUGCUCAUUCCCCUGGCGUCAUCAUCUGCAGCUACAAUGAUGCUGCAGUCCCAUUCCCCAGAGAAGUACACGGUCAAGAUCAAGAUCUCACUAACCAUUUUCGUAAUUGUAUUCAAUAAACCUUUUGAAAUCUUUUCAGUCUACUGAGAGUGUUGUGGAUAUGGGUCAGGCAGUUAAACAAAACCAUGACAUGUAUCUUCUAAUGU
Molecule: long non-coding RNA, 377 nt
Organism: Girardinichthys multiradiatus
Lineage: Eukaryota; Metazoa; Chordata; Actinopteri; Cyprinodontiformes; Goodeidae
Exons: 3
Source: RefSeq, a predicted model, not a curated record